This is an RNA transcript of Nasonia vitripennis (jewel wasp), 14328 nucleotides long. It is a transcript of the gene named dynein heavy chain, cytoplasmic, with no coding region annotated. The transcript is spliced from 25 exons. NCBI's taxonomy places the organism in Eukaryota, Metazoa, Arthropoda, Insecta, Hymenoptera, Pteromalidae. The record is from RefSeq and is a predicted model, not a curated record.
GAUUUAGUCUUUUUUUCCGUAUAGUUCGUGCCUCGUGGGCACUUUUCAAAUAUCAAAUAAUUAAAUAUAUUAAAUAAAAUCAGGAAUCAGGAAAUUAGCAAAUACGCAACUACACAUUCCAAAAGGUUGGACUUUAAAGUCCAUUUAUCUUUGACAAAUACUAAAAAAUAAAUAAACGUUUUGUAACCUUUAAUGAUUUCCUCUUCAAAAUUUACUCAGUAUAUUAUGAUGGGAGAUUCCUUAGAUAGUGUGGUUGACUCAGCUACUGAAACUCAAAACUCUAGCAUUGUUGAUUUUUCAACAUUUUCUAAUUAUUUACGAAAAGCUGUCUGUGUUCUGCAUCCUGAUGAAGAUGCAGUGCCUUGCGCAUUCAACAUUGCUUUGGAAGAUAAAAACAAUCAAGAAUAUGUUCGCAAAUUUUUGAGUGAUCCACAAGUUUGGGCACUUCAUAUACAGAGGAUUUCAAAUAAGGAAGAUGACAGCGGUGAAACUGAUGAUGAAAAGGAAAACAUUUUAUACUACAUAUCGAAUGAAAUUUGUUUUACGAGUGCUAAAAUGGUUUCUAUAGUUUUUACCAAAAGAAGUGCUACAGUCGAAGCCGAUAAAACAAUUCAUUCUCAAUUGCGAUUAAUUUUUUUUUCUGAUGGAUCUCCUUAUGAAACUUUACAUGCUAUUAGUAAAACUAUGGCUCCAUAUUUUAAAAGUUAUGUAAAGGAAAAAAGUAAAAUCGACAGAGAUGGAGACAAGAUGGCACCGUCAGUUGAAAAAAAAAUUGCUGAAUUAGAAAUGGGGCUGUUACAUUUGCAACAGAAUAUUGAUAUUCCAGAAAUUUCGUUACCAAUACACCCAGCAGUACAGCAAAUUAUUAAACAGUGUUCAGAGGAAGGUAGAAAACCAAAAGUUUCUGAUUUUGGCAGCAAAGUUGAAGAUUCUACUUUUUUAAAUCAAUUGCAAAAUGGUGUAAAUAGAUGGAUAAAAGAAAUACAAAAGGUUACUAAGUUGAAUAGGGAUCCUGAAUCUGGAACUGCUUUACAAGAAAUUUCCUUUUGGUUAAAUUUAGAAAGAGCAUUGCAUCGUAUUCAAGAAAAAAGAGAAAGCAUUGAAAUAUCAUUGACCCUUGAUAUAUUAAAACAUGGAAAACGAUUCCAUGCUACUGUCAGCUUUGACACUGAUACUGGAUUAAAACAAGCGUUAGCAACUGUAAAUGACUAUAAUCCGUUAAUGAAAGAUUUUCCAAUAAAUGAUUUGCUCUCGGCAACAGAAUUAGAACGUAUUCGAUCAGCCAUUCAACAAAUUUUUAUACACUUAAGGAAAAUAAGAAAUACCAAAUAUCCUAUCCAACGUGUUUUACGCCUUGUUGAAGCUAUCUCUAGAGAUUUGGGUCAACAAUUAUUAAAAGUAUUGGGAACCCGAAGACUUAUGCAUAUACCGUUUGAAGAUUUUGAAAAAGUAAUGACGCAGUGUUUUGAACUCUUUAAUACUUGGGAUGAUGAGUAUGAUAAAUUAACGCAGUUAUUGAGAGAAGUCGUGAAAAGAAAACGAGAUGAGCAUAUGAAAAUGGUUUGGAGAGUUUCUCCUGCCCAUAAAAAAUUACAAACGAGAAUGGAACACAUGAGGCGUUUUCGUCGUCAACAUGAACAACUGAGAACUGUCAUAGUACGGGUUCUAAGACCGGUUCGUCAAACCAAUACUUCAUCUAUUGAUAAUAAUGACAGUGAUGUAAAAUUGGAUUUUGCAUUUGACGCUGCCGAUGCUAAUGCUAUCAGCGAAGUCAAUUUAGCUUACGAAAAUGUCAAAGAAGUUGAUUGUUUAGAUAUAACUAAAGAAGGACUAGAGUCCUGGGAAGCAGCUGUAAAUCGAUAUGAAGAACGAAUCGAGCGUGUAGAAGCAAGAAUCACAGCGCAUCUUCGAGACCAACUAGGAACAGCAAAAAAUGCUAAUGAAAUGUUCCGUAUUUUCUCCCGAUUUAAUGCUCUUUUUGUUAGGCCUCACAUAAGAGGGGCUAUUAGAGAAUAUCAAACUCAAUUAAUACAGCGAGUCAAAGAUGACAUUGAAACGCUCCAUGAAAAAUUUAAGGUUCAAUACGCUCAAAGUAAAUGCUACAAAAUGAGUAUGGUGCGUGAUCUUCCACCCAUAGCUGGUUCAAUAAUUUGGGUAAAACAAAUAGAUUUUCAACUAACCAUGUACUUAAGACGUGUUGAAGAUGUUCUGGGUAAAGGGUGGGAAAAUCACAUAGAAGGUCAAAAAUUAAAGGCUGACGGUGACAGCUUUCGGAUGAAACUUUCUACGCAAGAGAUUUUUGAUGAGUGGGCUAGAAAAGUUCAACAACGCAAUAUCGGUGUCACUGGGCGUAUCUUUACAAUAGAAAGUAUAAGAUCACGGUCCGGACGAGGAAACAUUUUAAAGUUAAAAGUGAAUUUCUUACCUGAAAUUAUUACGCUGUCAAAGGAAGUGAGAAAUUUGAAAAAUCUUGGAUUUCGUGUCCCUAUUGCCAUUGUUAAUAAAGCACAUCAGGCGAAUCUACUUUAUCCGUUUGCCAUUAGUCUUAUUGAAAGUAUCCGAACAUAUGAAAGAACACUAGAAAAGAUUGAAGAUAAAUCAAAUAUUAUACCUUUAAUUGCCGGAUUGCGUAAAGAUGUUUUAGCACUUGUAUCAGAAGGAAUCACGUUAAUUUGGGAAAGUUACAAAUUAGAUUCAUACGUUCAACGAUUAUCAGACAUAGUUUUAUCAUUCCAAGAAAAAGUUGAAGAUCUUCUUGUUGUUGAAGAACAACUUGAUGUUGAUGUUAGAUCGUUAGAGACAUGCCCUUACUCGGCAAAUACAUUUUCUGAUAUUUUAAUAAAAAUACAAAAGUCUGUUGAUGAGUUAUCGCUCAAAAACUUUUCGAACCUUCACAUAUGGGUGUCAAGACUUGAUGAAGAGGUGGAAAAAAAUCUUGCAUUUCGCCUUGAGGCGGGUAUCAAAGCAUGGACUGAUGCUCUUAUGGGGCAAAAGAAAGAAGUUGAUUUAAGUAUGGAUACAGAUGCUCCUUCACAACCUACUCAUAGGUUAGGUGGUGAUCCAAAAAUACAAAAUCAAUUACACGAAGUCCGAAUAACAAAUCAAACAAUGUAUUUGUAUCCAAGCAUUGAGGAUGCUCGAUUUCAAAUAAUGCAACAAUUAUUCUCUUGGCAAGCUAUUGUCACGUCACAGGCUCGCCUACAAAGUUCAAGAUACCAAGUCGGCUUAGAUAAACAAGAGUCAAGUACUUACAGAAAUUUACUAACAAAAUUACCAUCUGGUAAAAAUUCGUUAGAGGCAGCUUACGAUGCUAUAGAGUUUAAAAUGGACGAAAUCGUUAGUUAUGUUGAUCAGUGGUUAAGGUAUCAGUCACUAUGGGAUUUGCAACCUGAAAAUUUAUAUGGUAAAUUAAACGAAGAUAUUUCAUUAUGGAUGAAGUGCUUAAAUGAUAUUAAAAAAACGCGGACCACUUUUGACACAUCAGAUACAAGAAGAGAAUUCGGACCUGUCAUUAUAGAUUUUGCUAAAGUUCAAAGUAAAGUUUCGUUAAAAUACGAUUCUUGGCAUAAAGAAACAUUGGGUAAAUUUGGAUCCCUACUUGGAAAUGAAAUGGCAAGUUUCCAUGUACAAGUUUCACGAUCAAGAAGUGAUUUAGAAUCGCAUUCUAUUGAAGCAGCAAGCACUUCGGAUGCGGUCAGUUUUAUAACGUAUGUGCAGUCUUUAAAACGGAAAAUGAAAGUUUGGGAAAAACAGGUCAAUAUCUAUAGAGACGGCCAAAGGAUUCUCGAACGUCAGCGAUUUCAGUUUCCAUCGCAGUGGCUACAUGUCGAUAACAUAGAAGGUGAAUGGGGUGCUUUUAACGAAAUUAUAAAAAGGAAAGAUACCUGUAUUCAAACUCAAGUAGCAUCAUUACAAUUAAAGAUAGUUGCAGAAGAUAAAGCUAUUGAAACUAGAACAUGUGAUUUUCUUAAUGAUUGGGAACAAGGAAAACCCGUUGAAGGGCACUUACGACCAGACGAUGCUUUACAGCAACUUCAGUUGUUCGAGAACAAAUACACACGACUAAAAGAAGAGCGAGAUAAUGUUGCUAAAGCCAAAGAAGCUUUAGAACUUUUAGAACCUGGAGUUAUAAGCGUAAAUGAGGAUCGGAUGCAAGUGGUCUUUGAAGAACUUCAAGAUUUAAAAGGAGUUUGGUCAGAAUUAUCAAAAAUCUGGACGCAAAUUGAUGAAACACGAGAAAAACCAUGGCUUUCCGUUCAACCCAGGAAACUUCGCCUACAAUUAGAUACUAUGUUAACGCAAUUGAAAGAGUUACCUGCAAGAUUACGUCAAUAUUCUUCAUACGAAUAUGUAAAAAAAUUACUUCAAAACUAUACUAAAGUAAACAUGUUAAUUGUUGAACUUAAAUCAGAUGCCUUGAAAGAAAGGCAUUGGAAAUUAUUAAUGAAGCAUUUAAGAGUAGAUUGGUUGCUGAGUGAAUUAACUCUUGGACAAGUAUGGGAUGUUAAUCUUCAAAAGAAUGAAGGAGCAGUCAAAGAUAUUAUUUUAGUAGCACAAGGCGAAAUGGCUCUGGAAGAAUUUUUAAAACAAGUACGAGAAUCAUGGCAGAAUUAUGAAUUAGAAUUAAUUAACUAUCAAAAUAAGUGCCGGUUAAUUCGAGGUUGGGACGAUCUUUUCAACAAAGUAAAGGAACACAUUAAUUCAGUUGCUGCAAUGAAAUUAUCCCCUUAUUACAAAGUAUUUGAAGAAGAAGCACUUACUUGGGAAGAAAAACUUAAUCGAAUUAAUUCUCUGUUCGAUAUCUGGAUAGAUGUGCAAAGAAGAUGGGUAUAUUUAGAAGGUAUUUUUUCAAGUAGCGCUGAUAUAAAAACGCUUUUACCGGUUGAGACAUCUCGUUUUCAAAGUAUCAGUUCUGAAUUUCUUGGUUUAAUGAAAAAAGUUUCAAAAAGUCCUAUGGUUAUGGAUAUUUUAAAUAUUCCUGGAGUACAAAGGUCAUUGGAGCGUCUUGCAGAUCUUCUCGGCAAAAUUCAAAAAGCGUUGGGAGAAUAUUUAGAAAGAGAAAGAAAUUCUUUUCCACGUUUUUAUUUUGUUGGCGAUGAAGAUCUGUUAGAAAUAAUUGGAAAUAGUAAGAACGUAGCAAGGCUUCAAAAACAUUUCAAGAAAAUGUUUGCAGGGGUCGCAUCAAUAAUACUUAACGAAGACAAUACAAUAGUUAUUGGUAUAGCUUCUAGAGAGGGAGAAGAAGUAAUUUUUCAAAAUCCUGUAUCAACCAUAAAUCAUCCUAAAAUCAAUGAAUGGCUUAGUCUGGUGGAGAAAGAAAUGCGGGUUACUCUAGCGUCUAGUCUCGCUAGUGCUGUGCAGGACAUAAAAGAAUUAAAAGGUGAAAAAAUGAGUUCAUCAGCUCUUAUGAGUUGGUGCGAUAAAUAUCAAGCUCAAAUCAUCAUUUUGGCAGCACAGAUUCUUUGGUCAGAAGAUGUAGAAACUGCAUUGCAAGAAUUUCAAGAUAAUGUGGGAUCAAAUCCUCUUGAUCGCGUACUUUUUCAGGUCGAAAGUACGUUAAACGUUUUAGCUGAUUCUGUUUUGCAAGAACAGCCACUCUUGCGCAGAAAGAAGCUUGAGCACUUAAUAAAUGAAUUCGUUCAUAAACGCACUGUUACAAGAAGAUUAAUUUAUAAUAACGUCUCGAAUCCAAAGGCGUUUGAGUGGCUUUGCGAAAUGAGAUUUUAUUUUGAUCCUAAACAAAUUGAUGUUCUUCAACAACUUACUAUACAUAUGGCAAAUGCUAAAUUCUUUUAUGGUUUUGAAUAUUUGGGGGUUCAAGAUAGACUUGUACAAACACCAUUAACAGAUAGGUGUUAUCUAACAAUGACACAAGCUUUAGAGUCUCGUUUAGGUGGUUCGCCAUUUGGACCCGCUGGUACUGGAAAAACUGAAUCCGUUAAAGCACUUGGACACCAAUUAGGACGAUUUGUAUUAGUUUUCAACUGCGAUGAAACUUUUGAUUUUCAGGCUAUGGGUCGUAUUUUUGUAGGCUUAUGUCAAGUGGGUGCAUGGGGCUGUUUUGAUGAAUUUAAUAGAUUGGAAGAAAGAAUGUUAUCAGCUGUUUCGCAACAAGUACAAACCAUUCAGGAAGCUUUAAAAAGUCAAAUUGAAGGAAAAAAGGAUGAAGGUUUAUGUGUAGAAUUAGUAGGAAAGCAAGUGAAAGUAUCAACGGACAUGGCGAUAUUUAUUACAAUGAAUCCCGGUUACGCUGGAAGGUCUAAUUUGCCAGAUAAUCUGAAAAAGUUGUUUAGAUCAUUAGCAAUGACAACACCUGACCGUCAACUUAUUGCUGAAGUUAUGUUGUUUAGUCAAGGAUUCCGAUCUGCUGAAAAAUUGGCUUGCAAAAUUGUUCCGUUUUUCAGAUUGUGCGAUGAACAGCUAUCAAAUCAAUCUCAUUAUGAUUUCGGUUUACGAGCGUUGAAAUCAGUUCUUAUUUCAGCAGGAAAUGUUAAACGCGAUCGUAUUCAAAAAAUUAAGGAAGGUAUGGAAACUCGUGGAGAAAGACAAAUAGAUGAAGCUUCAAUAGCUGAAAAUUUGCCUGAACAAGAAAUUCUAAUACAAUCCGUUUGCGAAACUAUGGUACCUAAGUUAGUAGCAGAAGAUAUACCAUUACUCUUUAGUUUAUUGAGCGAUGUUUUCCCUAACGUUGAUUAUACGCGAGCUGAAAUGAAAGGUUUAAAACAUGAGAUAAAAAAAGUUUGUAGUGAAGAAUAUUUAGUUUGCGGUGAAGGAGAUGAGCUUGGUGGAGCUUGGCAAGAAAAGGUUCUUCAGCUAUAUCAGAUUUGUAACUUAAAUCAUGGUCUCAUGAUGGUAGGUCCCAGUGGAUCUGGUAAAACGAGUGCUUGGCAAGUUUUACUAAAAGCAUUGGAAAGAUAUGAAGGUAUUGAAGGAGUAGCUCAUGUAAUCGAUCCAAAAGCCAUUAGCAAAGAAACACUUUAUGGAGUUCUUGAUCCAAACACGCGAGAAUGGACUGAUGGUCUUUUUACGCACAUUUUACGAAAAAUUAUCGAUAAUGUUCGAGGAGAAAUUAACAAAAGACAGUGGAUAAUAUUCGACGGAGAUGUUGACCCUGAGUGGGUAGAAAAUCUUAAUUCAGUUCUUGAUGAUAAUAAACUGCUUACUUUACCUAAUGGAGAACGUUUAAGCCUUCCACCAAACGUAAGGAUAAUGUUUGAAGUACAAGAUUUAAAAUAUGCCACAUUAGCAACAGUUUCUCGAUGUGGAAUGGUGUGGUUUUCUGAAGAUGUAUUAUCAACUGAAAUGAUUUUUGAUAAUUACUUGUUGCGUCUAAAAAAUAUUGCUUUGGAUGAUGGUGACGAAGAUAAUAUUGUAAAAAAACCUAUAGAAAAAGAUGAUGCUCUAUCUCCAACAUUGUCAGUUCAACACGAGGCUGCAAAUAUCUUACAUACUUUCUUUUCACCUGAUGGUUUAGUGGUAAGGUGUUUAGAAUAUUCAGCGAAACAGGAACAUAUAAUGGAUUUUACCAGAUUAAGAGCAUUAAAUUCACUCUUCUCUAUGUUAAAUCAAUCACUUCGAAAUAUUUUACAAUAUAAUCACUCUCAUUCCGAUUUUCCUCUACCUAAUGAACAAGUAGAGCGAUACAUUACGAAAUCGCUUAUCUAUGCUAUAUUAUGGAGCUUCACCGGGGAUGCAAAAUUAAAAGUUAGAUCAGAUUUUGGUGAUUUUAUUAGAUCUUUUACUACAGUACCUUUACCAUCACAAACAAAUAUUCCAAUUAUUGAUUUUAAAGUUGACAUUCAUGGAGAAUGGCAACCGUGGAGCAAUAAAGUUCCACAAAUUGAAGUUGAAACUCAUAAAGUAGCUUGUCCAGAUGUUGUUGUUCCUACCUUGGAUACUGUCAGACAUGAAAGUUUACUGUACACGUGGCUAGCUGAGCACAAACCAUUAGUUCUCUGUGGACCACCUGGAUCUGGAAAAACCAUGACUCUUUUUUCUGCUCUAAGAGCCUUGCCAGAUAUGGAAGUUGUCGGGUUAAACUUUUCAUCUGCUACAACUCCAGAACUUUUGUUAAAAACAUUCGAUCAUUAUUGUGAAUAUCGCAAAACUCCAAAUGGAGUUGUUCUUUCACCGGUACAACUUGGAAAAUGGCUCGUACUUUUUUGUGAUGAAAUUAAUUUACCUGAAAUGGAUAAUUAUGGUACGCAACGGGUAAUUUCAUUCUUACGCCAACUUGUGGAACAUAAAGGAUUCUUCCGAACUAGUGAUCAAGCUUGGGUAUCAAUAGAGAGAAUUCAAUUCGUUGGUGCAUGUAAUCCACCCACUGACCCAGGCCGAAAGCCCUUGAGUUACAGAUUUUUACGUCAUGUUCCUGUAAUUUAUGUUGAUUAUCCUGGCGAAGUUUCAUUAAAACAAAUUUAUGGCACAUUCACGCGAGCUAUGCUAAGGCUUAUUCCACCUUUGAGAGGAUAUUCUGAACCAUUAACCAAUGCAAUGGUAGAGUUUUAUUUAACGUCUCAAGAGAGAUUCACCCAAGACAUGCAACCACAUUAUGUUUAUUCACCGAGAGAAAUGACGAGAUGGGUGAGAGGUAUAUGUGAAGCAAUAAGACCUCUCGACAAUCUAUCAAUCGAUGGUUUAGUACGUCUUUGGGCUCAUGAAGCACUCCGACUUUUUCAAGAUCGAUUGGUUGAUGAUAAUGAACGUGCCUGGACAAAUAAAACUAUUGAUAUUGUAGCUUUAAAGCAUUUCCCUUGUAUAAACCGAGAAAAUGCUUUAGAACGUCCUAUAUUAUAUAGUAACUGGCUUUCCAAAGAUUAUGUUCCAGUUAGCCGACAAGAACUACGUGAUUAUGUUAGAGCUAGACUAAAAGUUUUUUACGAGGAAGAACUAGAUGUUCCUUUAGUUUUAUUCGAUGAAGUUUUGGAACACGUUCUCAGAAUCGAUAGAAUAUUCAGGCAACCACAAGGACAUCUUCUAUUGAUAGGAGUCUCAGGUGCUGGAAAAACAACCCUUUCACGAUUCGUUGCUUGGAUGAAUGGUCUUUCUGUUUUCCAAAUCAAGGUUCAUAACAAAUACACAGCUGAUGAUUUUGAUGAAGAUUUGCGGCAAGUUCUUCGCAGAUCUGGUUGUAAAGAUGAAAAAAUAGCUUUCAUUCUUGAUGAAUCAAAUGUUCUAGAUUCUAGUUUCUUGGAACGAAUGAAUACUCUUCUUGCGAAUGGUGAAGUACCUGGCCUCUUUGAGGGUGAUGAGUACACGACUUUAAUGACACAAUGUAAAGAAGGUGCACAGAGAGAAGGUUUAAUGCUUGAUUCGAAUGAAGAAUUAUAUAAAUGGUUCACAGGUCAAGUAAUGAAAAAUCUUCAUGUAGUUUUUACAAUGAAUCCUAGUACAGAUGAAUUGAAAAAUAGAGCUGCUACAUCACCAGCACUUUUUAACCGCUGCGUUCUCAAUUGGUUUGGAGAUUGGUCCGAUAAUGCUCUGUUCCAAGUCGGAAAAGAAUUUACGAACCGCAUAGAUUUAGAUAACCAACAUUGGAAAUGUCCAGAUUAUUUUCCAUCUACUUGUUCAUUACUCGUAGGUCAGGCAACGCAUAGAGAUGCUGUUAUUAAUGCGUGCGUUUACGUGCAUCAAACGCUUCACAAAGCUAAUACAAGAUUAUUGAAACGGGGUUGCCGAACCAUGUUUAUUACUCCAAGACAUUAUCUAGAUUUUAUUAACCAUUUUGUUAAAUUGUACCAAGAGAAACGUAGUGAUCUAGAAGAACAACAGUUACAUUUAAACGUUGGUCUUAGCAAGAUAGCGGAAACCGUAGAGCAGGUGGAAGAAAUGCAAAAGAGUUUAGCUGUAAAAUCACAAGAACUUCAAGCAAAAAACGACGCUGCUAAUGCGAAAUUAAGACAAAUGGUGAAAGAUCAACAAGAAGCCGAGAAGAAAAAGGUUCAAAGCCAAGAAAUACAACAGCAACUAGCUACUCAAACUGUAGCAAUUAAUGAAAAACGUGAUGAUGUUAUGGCAGAUCUUGCUCAGGUAGAACCAGCUGUCAUUGAUGCGCAGAAUGCCGUAAAAUCAAUAAAGAAGCAACAUUUAGUUGAAGUUCGAUCAAUGGCUAAUCCUCCUGCCAUUGUGAAAGUUGCAUUAGAAUCAAUUUGCCUUCUACUGGGCGAAAAUGCAAGUGAUUGGAAGUCGAUACGUGCAGUGAUAAUGAGAGACAAUUUUAUCAAUACUAUAGUCUCCAAUUUUAGCACAGAAAAUAUUACUGAUGAAGUCCGAGAAAAAAUGAAAAGUAGAUACCUUUGCAAUCCAGAAUAUAAUUUUGAGAAAGUUAACAGAGCUAGUAUGGCAUGUGGACCUAUGGUGAAGUGGGCAAUCGCUCAGAUUGAAUAUGCUGAUAUGCUUAAGCGUGUUGAACCACUUAGAGAAGAACUUUACUCUUUGGAACAACAAGCAGAAAAUAAUAAAUGUAAAGGAGAAGAAGUAAAGGAUUUAAUUUCUCAAUUAGAAAUAAGUAUAGCGUCUUAUAAAGAAGAAUAUGCUCAAUUAAUAUCCCAAGCACAAGCUAUUAAAACUGAUUUAGAAAAUGUUCAAGGAAAAGUCGAUCGAUCAAUAGCUCUUCUCAAAUCUUUAGUAAUUGAAAGAGAAAGGUGGGAAGCAACUAGCGAAACUUUUCGUAGUCAGAUGUCUACAAUUAUAGGUGAUGUGCUACUAUCCUCAGCUUUCUUAGCAUACGCUGGAUAUUUUGAUCAGCAUUAUCGGCAGAAUUUAUUUACAACAUGGUGUCAGCAUUUGCAUAGUGCUAAUCUUCAGUUUCGACCAGAUAUUGCUCGUACAGAAUACUUAUCGAAUCCCGACGAACGUUUAAGAUGGCAAGCUCAUGCGUUACCCGCAGAUGAAUUAUGUACUGAAAAUGCUAUAAUGUUGAAACGUUUCAAUAGAUACCCUUUGAUUAUAGAUCCUUCUGGACAAGCUACAGAGUUUUUAAUUAAUGAAUAUAAAGAUAGAAAAAUUACAAAAACUAGUUUUCUUGAUGAUUCAUUUAGGAAAAAUUUAGAGAGUGCAUUAAGAUUCGGAAAUCCGUUGCUUGUACAAGAUGUUGAAAAUUAUGACCCUAUUCUGAAUCCCGUUUUGAAUAGAGAAUUAAGACGUACAGGUGGUCGAGUACUUAUAACACUUGGAGAUCAAGAUAUUGAUUUAUCACCAUCAUUUGUAAUAUUUUUAUCAACAAGAGACCCAACCGUUGAAUUCCUUCCUGACAUUUGUUCACGUGUUACGUUUGUUAACUUUACUGUAACUCGUAGUUCUCUACAAAGUCAAUGUUUGAAUCAAGUUCUUAAAACCGAACGACCUGAUAUUGAUGAGAAACGCUCUGAUUUAUUAAAGUUACAAGGAGAAUUUCAUUUACGCCUAAGACAGCUUGAAAAAUCUCUAUUACAAGCUCUUAAUGAUGCCAAAGGUAAAAUAUUAGAUGAUGAUUCUGUUAUAACUACACUUGAAACAUUAAAGCAAGAAGCUGCAGAUAUUAGCAAAAAAGUUGAAGAAACUGAUAAGGUUAUAGCAGAAAUAGAAACUGUUUCUCAACAAUAUUUACCUUUGUCACAAGCAUGUUCAAAUAUAUAUUUCACAAUGGACAGUUUGAAUCAAAUACAUUUUCUAUAUCAAUACUCUUUAAAAAUGUUUCUAGAUAUUUUCACAUCUGUUUUAACAAGAAAUUCAAAAUUAUCUGGAGUAUCGGAUUAUGUCCAACGUUUAUCGUUCAUAACAAACGAUCUUUUUUCAGUUUGCUAUGAAAGAGUUGCAAGGGGAAUGUUGCAUAACGAUCGACUUACUUUUGCUUUACUGUUAUGCCGAAUUCAUCUCAAGGGAAUAGCAUCGGGAGUUACUUAUGAUAAUGAAUUUACAUUCUUUUUACGAGGAAAAGAAGGGGUUUUGAACGUACGCAUUCCUCAUAUUCCAAAUUUAAGUUCCGAACAACAAGAAGCAUUAGUGCGCUUAAGUACUAGAUUACCAGCAUUUCGAAAACUGACUGAUUUGAUUCAAAAUAAUUCUGAAUUUAAUUCAUGGCUACAGUCUCCUACGCCAGAGACAUGUGUACCUAAACUUUGGGAAGAAGAAAAACCUUGUUCUUUAAUUGGAACAGCCAUGAAUCAACUAUUAAUAAUUCAAACAUUCAGGCCUGAUCGAGUGAUUGCGGCAGCAUCUUUAGUUGUCAUUUCCGUUCUAGGAGAUUCCUUCAUGAGCGCUGCUGAAACUGAAUUAGAAUUCUCGAGUGUAGUAGAAAAUGAAUUACAAUCAUCAAUACCUGCAUUACUAUGUUCUGUUCCUGGUUUUGACGCAUCGAGUAGAGUAGAUGAUUUAGCAGCAGAAUUUGGAAAGCCUAUUGUUAGCAUCGCUAUUGGUUCAGCUGAAGGUUUCAGUCAAGCUGACAGAGCAAUUAAUACAGCCGUUAAAGCUGGUAGAUGGGUGCUAUUAAAAAAUGUCCAUUUAGCACCGCAAUGGCUUGUCCAAUUGGAGAAGAAACUUCAUAGUUUGCAACCGCAUCAUAAUUUUAGAUUGUUUUUAACAAUGGAAAUAAAUUCUAAAGUUCCAGUUAAUUUACUUAGAGCUGGACGUAUAUUUGUCUUUGAGCCUCCACCUGGUAUAAGAGCAAACCUUUUAAGAACAUUUAGCACUGUCCCAGCUUCAAGAAUGAUGAAAGCACCAAAUGAGAGGGCACGUUUGUAUUUCCUGUUAGCAUGGUUUCAUGCUAUUGUCCAGGAGCGUCUACGUUACGUACCAUUAGGAUGGGCAAAGCAUUAUGAAUUUAAUGAAAGUGAUUUAAGAGUUGCUUGUGAUACACUUGAUACAUGGAUUGAAACGACAGCAAUGGGUAGAACAAAUUUACCACCAGAAAAGGUACCUUGGGACGCCUUAAUAACGCUCAUGUCACAGUGCAUUUAUGGUGGAAAAAUAGAUAAUGAUUUUGAUCAGCGUUUGUUAACGUCUUUUCUUCGAAAACUUUUUACAUCAAGAUCUUUUGAAGCAGAUUUUGCUCUAGUUGCUAACGUUGAUGGGACUUUAGGAAAUCAACGCCAUAUAACUAUGCCCGAUGGAACGAGACGAGAUCACUUCUUAAAAUGGAUUGAGUCUUUAUCUGAUAAACAAACACCAUCUUGGCUUGGGUUACCUAAUAAUGCUGAAAAAGUUCUUUUAACAACAAGAGGAACAAAUUUAGUUUCUAAAUUACUAAAAAUGCAACAACUGGAAGAUGAAGAUGAAUUAGCGUAUUGCAAUGAAGAGUCUUUAGAUACUUGUAAAGAAGCAGAAUCGGAUGGUCGGCCGUCCUGGAUGAAAACUUUAUACAAUUCGGCUUCAACAUGGCUGCAGCUAUUACCAAAAAAUUUGGUUAUUUUAAAAAGAACUGUCGAUAAUAUCAAGGAUCCGUUAUAUCGUUAUUUUGAACGUGAGGUUAAUAGUGGAUCAAAACUACUGCAGGACGUUAUUCAUGAUUUAGAAGAUGUUGUUUUAAUUUGUCAGGGCGAGAAAAAGCAAACAAAUUAUCACAGAACAAUGCUUUCCGAAUUAAUUAAAGGAAUAUUGCCCGUUAAUUGGAGAAGAUAUACAGUUCCUCGGGGUUGUACUGUAAUACAAUGGAUAACAGAUUUCAGUCAUCGAGUUUCGCAAUUACAAGAAGUUUCAAGAUUAGUUUCACAGAGUGGUGCUAAGGAAAUAAAGGAUCAUCAAGUAUAAUCCAAUAAAGAACUGAUUUAAUUUUGGAGCCGAUUAACAAAGAUAAAGCGUGUCUAUGAAAGCUCAUCUGAGAUGUUACAAUUUUCCGGUAUGGCUUGGUGGUUUAUUUAACCCAGAAGCUUAUAUAACAGCUACCAGACAAUGUAUCGCACAAGCAAAUAGUUGGUCAUUAGAGGAGCUAGAAUUAGAUGUAUUCAUAUGCAACAAUGAUAAUACCUUACCUGAUAAUUGUUCAUUUGCAGUAACUGGUUUAAAACUGCAAGGAGCGCAAUGCAAAAAUAAUCAGUUAUAUUUAACAUCUACCAUUAUGACUGAUUUACAUGUUAUAAUGUUAAGGUGGAUACGAUGUUCUUCUGGAGAAACGAAAAAAAGCAAGCUAGCAUUACCUGUUUACUUAAAUAGCACACGAACAGAGUUACUAUUUACUGUUGACCUAAACAUAGCACCUAGCCAAGAUCCGCAUAGCUUCUAUGAAAGGGGCGUUGCUAUUUUGACAUCAACAGCAUUAAAUUAAUCUGCAACUUUAAAGGUCUCUAUAACAAUGUGUAUGGAAUAAAAAGAAUAAAAACAUUGUAAAUGAUUAAAUAAAAAAAAUAAAAAUAA